GCCAAAAAUCUAGCCCCAAACUGCCACCCCAAUACAUUACACCCAUAAUUAAAACAUUCAUUAAAUUUAGUAAAGGCGAUUGAAAAAUUAAUCGGCGCUAUAUAUCCAGUACCGCAAGGGAAAGAUGAAAUAAAAAUGAAAAACUUCAAGCACAAAAAAGCAGAGACUCUGCCUCGUACCUUUUGCAUCAUGGUUUAACUAGUCUAAUCAAGCGAAAAGACUUGAAGUUUGACAUCCCGAAACUAAGCGAGCUACUUCAGGGCAGCCUAACGAGCGCCCCCGUCUCUGUUGCAAAAGAGUGGGAAGACCCUCAAGUAGAAGUGACAAGCCUACCGAGCUUAGUGAUAGCUGGUUACUCAAGAAAUGGACUUUAGUCCAACCUAAAGUUAACUUAAUCCAACAAAAUCCCACCGUAACUUUAGAUUCAUUCAAAUAAGGUACAGCCUAUUUGAAACAGGAUACAACCUCAACUAAUGGGUUCUACGCCAAGUACAGCCCAACUAAGUGGGCCUAAGAGCAGCCACCUUCCAAAAAGCGUCAAAGCUUAAUUAUUCUCUAUCUAAAUACCCCAAACCCCAUCUAACCCUUUUACAGUAAUGAGUAAUUCUAUACAUCUAUAGAACCUUUUAUGUUAAAACUAGUAACAAGAAGACGACCCUUCUCUUAAAUGCAAACAUAAGCCAGAAAGGACACACCACUGGCAAUUAACACCCAUGAGCUACUAAUAGUGACACCAUGAAAAACCCCUAUUUAUUAAUAUGUUAACCUGACACAAGCGCAUUAAAAGAAAGAUUAAAAGGAAAAGAAGGAACUCGGCAAACAUUAACCCCGCCUGUUUACCAAAAACAUCGCCUCCUGAAUAAAUAUAGGAGGUCCGGCCUGCCCAGUGACUCUGUUCAACGGCCGCGGUAUCCUAACCGUGCAAAGGUAGCGUAAUCACUUGUCCUUUAAAUGGGGACUAGUAUGAACGGCACCACGAGGGUUACACUGUCUCCUUUCCCCAAUCAGUGAAACUGAUCUCCCCGUGAAGAAGCGGGGAUAUACAUAUAAGACGAGAAGACCCCAUGGAGCUUUAAACGAAACAACAGUCGCUACACGAUUUAAAUUUCAGAACCCCUACCUCUACCCGGGCGACAUGAUUGCUAGUUUUAGGUUGGGGUGACCAUGGAGUACAAACCAACCUCCCUGUUGAAAGGGGGUCCUCCCCUAAGCAAAAACCCACAACUUUAUGCAUCAAUAAAUUGACAUCAAUUGACCCAAUAUUUUGACCAACGAACCAAGUUACCCUGGGGAUAACAGCGCAAUCCAUUUUGAGAGCCCCUAUCGACAAAUGGGUUUACGACCUCGAUGUUGGAUCAGGGUAUCCUAGUGGCGCAGCCGCUACUAAAGGUUCGUUUGUUCAACGACUAAGACCCUACGUGA
This 1422-nucleotide ribosomal RNA is filed under the name Fritziana ulei. RNAcentral describes it as "partial 16S ribosomal RNA". It matches the Rfam family "Bacterial large subunit ribosomal RNA", at positions 379 to 2603 of the family's 2925-position model. The record is from RNAcentral. Lineage: Eukaryota; Metazoa; Chordata; Amphibia; Anura; Hemiphractidae.